AAGUCGUAACAAGGUUUCCGUAGGUGAACCUGCGGAAGGAUCAUUAACACGUAUCCAACGUUAAACCCCCCUGUGAACCUUCAUUGUGCUCCCACGCUUUGUUAGAAAGUGGCAAUCCCUGGUAAAUCAUCGCCGAACAGUUUUGAUUCAGGGGCAUUCCUCGGCGGAAAGUGUCACUAACUCUGUACGAAUGGCGCAGUCACGUUCGCUGGAGGCCGACACUGCUCCCUUAAUAACCUUUGCAUGAAAACGGGCCUGCGCUUAAUUGUGCGCCACCAAACUCGAACAACUGUUAACAAUGGAUAUCUUGGUUCUC
Molecule: unclassified non-coding RNA, 316 nt
Filed under: fungal sp.
Lineage: Eukaryota; Fungi
Description: partial internal transcribed spacer region
Rfam family: Eukaryotic small subunit ribosomal RNA (bases 1-46)
Source: RNAcentral